UGAGAGAAAACAGUUUGUGCUGGCAGUCACUUGCGGGAGUUGAGGUGUGGAGUAAGUGACACAAGACUGGAGAUCGUGUUACUCAUGUACUGUGGUUGUUUGGAGGACCACACUCGUGCAGCACUUGAGGAGUGAUCACGGCAGGAAGGAGGAAGAUGCACCAUGCCGGUGGCCGGCGGCCGAGUACAGAAGCGGGUUAAUGAACGCGCUGGCAACCACAACCUGGAUCCUGGCAGCCUGCAUAGCUCACCUGCAGCCCACCAUGAUGCCCUCCAGGAGGUGGCUGGCUGGCACAUGGAGGACUGGGAGGAGCUUGAAGCACUGUUGGAGAGUGAGCACCUUAUCCUGGGACAGGAGCAGCAACAACAACAACAACAACAUUCUGGCUCAGAUAUCAACCUCCUCCAGAGUCCAGAGCGUGCCCCACGGCUGCCCCCCGAGGCACCUGCAUCCCGUAGCAGCUCUCGCCGGUCCUUACCUCGCACUCGUGGGGGCUUCUCUGUGCCUCUCCACCAGUUGUCCUCCAUCCUCCUCAACAUGACUUUCUCUGACACUGAGGAUGACCACCAGGGUGGCAGCGGUGGCAGGAACACGAGCAACGAACAAGACCACUCCCUGAGCCGCUCCCGCACAGAAUCAGGAGUGAGUAAUGCCUCCACGGUGUCCCUGGCCAGUCCUUCCUCCUCUGCUGGGCCUGCAGCUACCUCCAAUGGGCCAGCUGCCUCAGGUGGUGCUGCGGGAGUGGACAUGGUGGCUGCAGCCCAGACUGCCUCCUCCAUGGUGGACAUGACAGGUGUGGAUAAGAAGAAGAUUGUGGAGAAGCUGCAGCAAAUUCAGGGGUACAUCCAGCAGACCACUGCUGCUAUGGCUGCACUGGAGCAGCAGGGAGACACUAGCUUACAGAGUGACAUUUAUGCUCGCUAUGUUCACCUCAAUAAGUCUCUCCAGCAGCAGGAGGAAGAGUAUUUGGACAUUCUAGCAAGGUCUCUUGUCCUUAAUAAGGCUGCUGCACAGGUGGCCAAUGGGACGCAGCAAAGCACAGCACCAAGUGGCUCUCCUGCAGCACAAGUCAAUGGCCGAGAUGAGCCAGCGGCAGAGGAAGGCAGCCGUCUUGUGGGAAUGAUCAGCACUGACAAUGUGCGCACCAUGAGCUCGGAAAACGUUCGCUCGCUGCAGGAUCGCCUUGCAGCAAGUCAGGAGGAGUCUGUGGCCAUCAUGAGCCAGAUGAGAGCCAGCAUAGCGCGCAGGGAAGACCUCUUGACACGCUACAAGGCCACCCAGGAGCGCCUGGCCAAUCUCAAGCGGCAGCGUCAGGGCAUUCAUGAGGAGAAGCAGCGUCUCCUGCAGCAGGGAGCUGGUGAUGCUUCUGCUUCUGGUGAUACUGCGGAGGGAGAGGAGGACCCCAUCCCAGGAGCCGAGAAUUGGCCAUUGGCAGAGGUGACACGUGCAUUGGUGGACUUCCAGGCUUUGCUGGAUAAGGUGGAGCGGCUCACUUCUGUUUACUCCAACAGGGCACAGGAUAUGGCUGCUGAUGAAGAGGGUCAAGCAGACAUAAACAACAAGUUGAGUCUUCUGGCCAGCAGGCGGCGGCAGCUCACUGAUGUAGUUGCCAGACUUAAAAGAUUUCAGUUGGUGAGGCAGCAGGAGGAGAGAGAUGGUGCAGGUGAGGAAGGUGGUCACCACCCAGUCUCUGAUGCUCCUGCUGGGACUCCAGACUUGAACCACAUCCCCGUGUCUAACACCCACUCUGGCAUGGGGGAUGAGACAGCACCACCAUCCACAUUGGCAGCUUCUGUGCCUAGUGUCAAUGGGAAGGGAAGUGUAAGUUCUAUUAGUCAGACAGCUAGUGUGAGAGCAGCUGCUGAAUCUGUUAGCCAGGCAUCAGAGGAGCUGCAGUCCCGUAAGGCUCAGCUAAGUUCUCUCCAGAAGCAGCUGAGUGACAUGAAGAAGAUGCUUGAUAUGGCCAACAUGGUCAACAUGGCACGGCAGGAAGUGAGGGAGCAGGUUGAAGGUGCCUGUUCCUUGCCACCUGCUAGUGGGGAGCUGGAGGGAGCUGUGGCAGGAGAGGUCUUGGAGGUGUCUGGCAAGAAGAUUGUUCUGACCGAAGCUGAAAGGCAGAAUCCAGAAAUAGCUGCAAAAUACAAUCAGCUGUCAAAAGCCAAGGAGCGGCUGGCCAAGAUGGAGGAGGUCAUCACUAUGAUCAGUCAAGCACGUCAGAGUGGACAAAAUCUGCGAGACGUGUUGCCUCAGGACUACCUGGCUAUACUGGAGGAAGCUGAGGAGGACUUCCCUGAUCCCAGCCGGCCUGCUCCCCUAAGCCUCCCUGCCCCACAGAGAUCUGUAGAGAUAGAAGAGGACUUAGGCAGGCUCUCCAGGUGCCCUACUCGCCCUCCUCGUAUGGGCAGUGCAGGCCGCAGUGAGACUGGGCCAGGGCUAGGCCGAGACUCACAGGAGAGCCGGGAAAUUUCUGCCAUGCAGCAACGACUCAACAAAACCAGCACGCGAGUAUCUGCUGUCAACGAGAGGUCAAGGCAUGGGCAUGAGAAGGGUGCCAUCAAGAAGCAGCCACAGGCAUUAUGGCAGGGCAACAGUGGGGGCAGCAGCAGCAGGGGAGGUGGAGCAGCAGAAGAUCCACGCCUGGCCCAAGUUUUAGCCUUGCAGGAGGAACUGCGACAGAAGAAGAAUGCACUGGAGGCCCUCAUGAGGCGCAUGGGCAAGUCCUCCUCCCUCAACAUGGAUAACAUCUCUGAUAAUAUCUCAGACAACGUCUCCGACACAUCUGACCACCUCGGGGAGACUCGGGGCACCAGUGGAGCAGCCACUUGGGGCGAAGCAGCACCACUGCACCACUUCUCUGACAAUCAUUAUCAGCAGUCCAGUGAUGAUGACCUGAUCGAUGAAGAUGAAGCAGAUCUCCCUCCACGAAGCCAGGUCCGCCCGCCGCAGCCACCGCCACCGCCAGGAGCCAUGUCUCCCAAGGACCGUAACCGUCACUCAGCCAGCCAGCACCGCCGCCGGCAGGACUCAGGCCGCCUCUCUGUCAACAACCUGUCUGCCACUCUUCCUACUCCCACCAGGACUAAGCACAAUCGCCUUAGAUCAAGCAGUGCUCCCAAGGCCCUGUGGGAAUCUGUAGGCACACCUGAAGGUCCCAACUAUAAGUCUCCUUCCAACACAACAAUGCAGACCCAGCACAGCCUCAAUACUGCUCUCAAUCAGCUUAACCAAGUACAGGGGACCAUCAACACCCUGCAGGAAAGCCUUCGCCAGGAGCAGAGUCAUGUCAUGGGAAGUUCCAGGGCUUCCCCUUAUCAUCCCCAGCUGGUGCCACCCCUCUUGCCAGAUCUCACUCCUACCUCCCUGCCCCCUGUGGCUCCUCCCAGUCAGGCACUUACUCCAAUGUCUGCCUAUGCUGGCCUGGGCUCCCUUGCUCUGGCUUCUCAAGGAGGUGGAGAGACGAUCAAUCAACAGCUGUUAGCAGGGAUGCAGCAGUGCUUUUCUCAGCUGCAUCUGCAUUCCCUGGAGAUACAGGCCCUGAGCAAGCACCUUCAGCUUUUGGAGAGGAGAGAGCAGACAGGUUCUGCUGCCAUGGCUGAUGUAGGGGAGGGCCUGUGUCAGGGUGGGAGGGGAGCUGCCAGGAGAAGUGAAGAGGAAGAAGAGGAUGAAGACAAUGAGGAGGAAGACGAGAUCCAUGGAAGCACUCGACCUCAUUAUCCUCACCACCACAAUCUCCUGGCAAACCCCAGUGGCCUGCGUCCUGGGAAGGAUGGAGGGGCUGCAAGGACACCACAGGAUUCCUUCUCUGUGUUCCUACGGCAGCAAAGUGAAGGUGGGGGCAUGCCUUCCACUGGUGUUACCAAUCCUAUCUAUGGCCACCUUGGAGAUCUGCGAGACCAAGCAGGGAGCACCUGGGGCUCCCUGGCACCCACCCCGGGCACAGAACAACCAACUGAUACCUUAGGAUCUCUUCUGGAAGCAGGAGCUGGGGCUGGAACAUUGGAAGGAAGUCCCUCACACCCUCUUUUACAUCUGGGUCGCUUGGGGGAGGAGGGUAGCCAGUCCCAAGCUCCAGAGGCACACCACUGGGCCUCCCUUGCCUCCACCCACCCCCUGCAUCACCAGACCACUGACUUGCUCAAUAACCAGGUUCCACCAGGCACACGUGCCAACAACUAUUGGGAUAACUUCCGCAGCUAUUCCCGCCAGAACCUGCUCUCUACCACCACCAAGAGCAACACCAGUGACAUCCACCCACCCUCCACCUCCUCAGUCUCCGUCCCCACUCACAGCGCUGCCUCUGCCCUACUUCCAGGGCGGGAGGGCAUACGAGGAGAGGACAAACGGUUCAACGUUUCUGUCGGCCACAACAACACUAACUGUGGGGCAGGAGCUCGGGCCAGAAUGCCCAAUCCCCACAUCAAUAAUCCCCAGGGUGCCACCAAUCCCAGAGUGAGAAACCCUGUGGCUUCCAGCUCCAAGCACCUGCUCGGCCAGAACAAGCACAAGGCAAACAACAGGAACAAACAAACAGGCGACUUGUGGUCAGCCUCAAAGUGCAGCGAGAGGAACCUGCCAUCUCAGGAGCGAGGCUCAGGUGGAAGGAACCGGGGCUAUCUCAACUACAACAGUGCCCGUGCCAAUACUAGUGACAGUGAGGGUGGAGGCGAGGGCACCAACACUGCUGGGGUGACGCUGGAGGUGUUGCGUGAAGCAGAGGCACUAAUCCGCCGCCACGCCAACCAGCCAGAGUUUCUGCUUCAAUUGUUCCGCCAUGCAUCAGAGAUCACCGUGCACACAGACCAGCAUGUGGCUGUAGCCUUGCUGCAUGACCUGGCCACCCAGCCCCACCGACCCUCCACUCAUGGAGUGAAUGCCAACAUCAGAGGAAGCAGCCGCAGACGUGCUGAAGGCACCACUGGUUUGUCUCUGUCAGCCCCACUGAGAGACUCAUGGCAGCCACAGCCUCACCACAGUCAUCCCCAGAACACCCUCCCUCAGGAGAAUGUGAGUGUGGUGGACCUGUCGGGGUCAGAGGUCAGCGAAAGUGGCCUGACUUCUGAGGAUGAGGACAACAGGGCUUUGUACCGCAAUGUAAAGAACCUGAGCCUCAGUCCUGGCGGAGCAGUGGCAGCCCCUCCUGCACCCCCGGGGGACGUGAACUCUGGUGCCCGGCCACAGUACCCCCAGCCACCACCCCUUCACUCUGGCCCUCACUACGACCACAACUACCAUGACUUCCCACCACAUGGCCACCACAACCUCUCCAACCCCCCCACCACGCAGGGAGGGGAAAGCACUCGCAGUGUUGCUAAUUCAGAGAGCUCCCUGUAUGAUCACCUUGUGUUUAAUGAUUCUCACCUGGCCAGCAGACAGGAGGUGGUGGAAGACUGGGUGAGACGAGGGGUGGAGGAAGAGGCAGGGCCCAGUAAACUCCCAAACCAGCCAGACACUGCUGGCUCAUCCCCUGAGGAUGCCCAUAACCUCAUCCAUCCUCUGAACAAUGACACAGAGUACCUCACCUUUGAGACUCUUGUGGCCUCUGCUGUGAGGGAGAGCACUGAAGUACUGCAGGCACAGGCAUGUGAGGAUGUGGCCUCCCCUCUCCUGCUCAACUCCCUUCACCACAGUCUUGUAGCCCAUAUCCAGACUCGAGCCCAGUCCCUGCGGCUGCCCCAGAGCUUUCUCUUCUCUACAGACACUGAAUUAAAAUCUGUCCUCCAAAACUUUGCGGGGAAACCGCUGGCACAGGUGAGCAGCGAUGUGCCCUCUAUCAUCUCCCAGGUGCUGCUGACCCAAUAUUGUUCAGUUUUGGUGCAACGACUAAGGGACAAUCGACCUCUGCUGCCUCAGACCCCAACCAAGCUGUCCACGACUCCUUUGGCCAAGGCUGGUGAAAUGAAUCUGGAAGGUGCCAGUGCCACUCCCACAUCUGCCCUGCCUGAAUGCCAUCCUACUCAGGAGGUGACCACAGCCACCCAAACCGAAGCUGCAGUGUUCUCCCUCCAUCCUCAGCGGCCAAGCCUUCACACUGGCCACAACUUCAGCCUCACUGCUGGGGCUGCUGCCAUCCAUCCACCUCCACCACCCCCUGCACCUGAGAGUACUCCUGUGGAGAGUGCCUGGCAGGCCCCUCCACCUCCACCUGCCCCACUGCCCUCGCCUAACCACAACCCUGGAGUCGGGGAGCCUCUAUCUGAGAGUGCAGCCUGUGGAGGUGCAGCACUCCCAGGAGCCCAGUCUGGGGUGUGGGGUGCAGAGGGGGUGGCUUCUCCCACAGCUGCCCUGGGAGCCAGCUGUGGUGAAGCAGAGCAGGAGGAGGCCAUGAUGGAUGAUCUUGGUGAGCCCACACUGGUACACACACUGGCAGAAGCUGAUCAGUCACAAGAUGCAGUGGAGGGAGAUUGGGGUGAGGAUUCCCAGGCAGAGGGCAUCGUGCAGGCUGAGGGUGGCCGGCCAUCAUGCAGCUCUCACUCUCUUCCCCUCUCACAGCACCCUGGCUGGCUUCCUUCCCGAGAUGCUUCCUCCCAGCUGGAGAUGGAGGUAGAGGUAGAAGGUCUAGUGGAGAGUGACGCAGCAGAAGCAGCUGCUCUUGGGGUAGGUCACCUCCUCUUCAUGGAUCAGCAGAGUCAGGAGUUAGAUGAGGUGCCCACCAAGCUACAGAGCCCAGAGGGAAGCUCUCCUGCUGAUACCCCAGACCAGCCUCUCCCCCAGCACCACAAUAAUCACCAUCACCACCACCACCACCACCAGCAGUGCCCCCAAUCACCUGAUGGUCAGUGAGCCACACAGCACAAAUGUGGGAGGAGGAGGAAUGGUGGAUAAAGAACUUUCUAUUGAAAUAAACCGGAGUGAAGGGUGACGGAAACAGGUACGCAGCUGCUCCUUCUCAUGCUGUCAUGGGAGGAAGAAAGAAGGAAAAGCCUGGCGACCAUCAAUGGAAGCCAAAAGAAUGAAAAGUAUAACAGAGGAACCUCACAGUAUAGCCAGAGGGGAGGCACUGAUGUUUGGGGAGGAUGAGGAGUUAAGUGAUGAAGAGACCCAGGAACAACAAGCAUGUGUGAUGUCCAGUCCAGUGCUAAUGCUAAGCUCAUGUUUGGUGAGCUUUUUCACUUUAUUCAUGUGCAAGAUGAGGGUUAACCAGCCCACCCAUAAAUGAAGGCCAGUAUCUUCCAUAGCAUCCAUUCAACCAGUCAGAUAAACAGGUCAUCAGCAUGAGAACAAAAGCAUUGAGGGAAGAGUACUUGAUAGUGUCAGCAGUAAGUUCAGUACACCUAUCACACAGCAGCUGUUAAAACAUAUAAUUGUGCAGUCACAGUAACGUGCUGGGGAUAAUUACAGGAAUAAAAUUACUCAUUUCUUAUAUGAAAAUUAAGGCACUGUGUGUAUAUCAAAUAAUCUUAGCAAAAACUUUAAUUGUCAGGAAAUCUUUCCUAAUGUUACAUGUAGGAUUUGUUGUUUAGUGUUAUCAGCUGGUCCAUAUGGCUGCCAUCUGCUGUGUAGCGUCUCUGCGAGCAUUGGAACCACGUGGCCAGCCAACCUGCAUUCUGCUCAAACAAGUUUUGGAAGGUUCCUUCCUCUGGAGUCUGAUUGACUUUCCAGGAGUUAGGAAUGUUGUACCACAGACAAGCCCAUGACAAUCAGAGCUUAUGAGUAACCAUGUUGUCAGUGUCAGGUUAUGUAUUUGAUCUUAGUGUGAUGAUCGUGCCAAAGGCUGCCUCACAUCACAGAGGAGAGCCCAGGAUUCAUUGUAACAAGUUAAAUACUUUUUGACUCUAUUGCACUUGAAAUAUCAUGUGUGUUAUAUACCAUCAUUACAGUUAGUGUAUGAAGAUUAUGAAGAAGCCUGAAAUUACUAUAUUUCCACACUUAAAUACUUAAUUUUCCUUAAUUCUAAAGUUUUCAGCCUGACUACCUUACAGUUAUCUUGUUACAGCUUCUGUUUCUCAGUAGGAUUAUGUUUCAGAGCAUUAUGUACUCAUCAUAUGGUCGUCUUUUACUUUUUCAAGAUAUUGCUAGAUAUUACUCAUGUAGUAUACUCAUUUUGUCAGUGUUUCAAUUUGGUGUUGCCAACAUCUUGACCUCCACCCAAUGAGAUCUGGCCUGUCUCUUCCCCUUCACCAGUGUGACCAGGCCUUUCUCUUCCAUUCCUUAGUGUUACCUGACCCAUCUCUCCCCUUCCCUCAGUGUGACCUGACCUGUCCUCUUCCUUUGUGAGUGUGAUCUCAUGGUCCCUCUUCCUUUUUGAGUGUGAUCUGACCUGUCCACCACCUCUCAGUGGAGUCUGUUCCCUGUGCACCAAGAACCAUCCCCAUCAAUCUGUUUCCUCUCCCCCUCCAGUGUGACUGGCUAUAUGUACUGAAGGACAUCUUACCAUCAACAUGUUCUUACUGGAAACAUUGACAUCACAUCCAUUGUUUCUUAGUGUUCCUUGAGUCGGCAUUUCUUACGUCUCAACAUCCAAGAAACCAGUCUGGUGAAGAACUACCAACUGCUAUCCAGGCAAUACAUGAGUCAAGUCAUGUGAAAACUGUUCAAGUUUUAGGUAAUAUUGAAUUCAUAUUCCAUAUAAAUCAAAAGAAUAAGUGAUUUUACUUAUUUUUUAUGAAUAUUUCUGCAUUUUCUCUUUAUUUCCAAAAGGGAGAAAUACUUUUUCAUUAAGGUAGUGGAUUGAGAAACAUUGAAUGUCCAGUGAUGGAAGCAACAUGGCAGUAAGAAUCAAGGUGAAAGUUCUGUGAUGAGUGAAUGUUCUGCCAGUAAGAAGGUUUGGCGAGUCUCAGAAUAUGUGAACUGAAGAGGAACAAGGCAGAUAGUACAUGUUCAACCAUGCAUUGUUAUGAACCUACUCUGCUUUGUGUAUCCAGCUUAUUGCAGCAUUUAACCUGAGUAUAAAUGUAAGCUGAAGUUAACAAGGCUAUUAUAAUCAAAGUAAAUGAGA
Portunus trituberculatus (swimming crab) is the source of this 8935-nucleotide RNA transcript. RefSeq lists it as uncharacterized. The transcript has 38 exons. The record is from RefSeq and is a predicted model, not a curated record. NCBI's taxonomy places the organism in Eukaryota, Metazoa, Arthropoda, Malacostraca, Decapoda, Portunidae.